GGACUAAUAUUUUUCAUUGAAUUGGAAUCUGGUCCUGCCGGUGCUAAUGACAGAGCUAGUGUCUUAUAUUGAACUCUUUCAGUUCAUUUUAGCAACUUAGUUUUGGCAUGUUUAGUCACAUCUAAACAGUCAAUACAAAAAAAAUCGAGAAUUACCGGCGAAAUUACCGGCGGCGAAAUUUCCGCCGGUAAUUACCGGCGGCCCAACGACGCCGAAAGAAGGCG
RNAcentral lists this long non-coding RNA (224 nucleotides) under Salvia miltiorrhiza (redroot sage). RNAcentral describes it as "long non-coding RNA (SMIL_LNC009531)". The record is from RNAcentral. Lineage: Eukaryota; Viridiplantae; Streptophyta; Magnoliopsida; Lamiales; Lamiaceae.